UGCGUAUGUAAUGGUGGCUGAUGGUUCA
Molecule: non-coding RNA, 28 nt
Filed under: Callithrix jacchus (white-tufted-ear marmoset)
Lineage: Eukaryota; Metazoa; Chordata; Mammalia; Primates; Cebidae
Also listed under: 1 other name
Source: RNAcentral